RNAcentral lists this ribosomal RNA (440 nucleotides) under uncultured bacterium. RNAcentral's name for it is "partial 16S ribosomal RNA". It matches the Rfam family "Bacterial small subunit ribosomal RNA", at positions 339 to 795 of the family's 1533-position model. The record is from RNAcentral.
CUACGGGAUGCAGCAGUGAGGAAUAUUGCACAAUGGGGGGAACCCUGAUGCAGCAACGCCGCGUGGAGGAUGACGCAUUUCGGUGUGUAAACUCCUUUUAUAUGUCAAGAAAAUGACGGUAGCAUAUGAAUAAGCACCGGCUAGACUCCGUGCCAGCAGCCCCGGUAAUACGGAGGGUGCAAGCGUUACUCGGAAUCACUGGGCGUAAAGGACGCGUAGGCGGGUUGGAAAGUCAGGUGUGAAAUCCUACAGCUUAACUGUAGAACUGCACUUGAAACUUCUAAUCUAGAGUAUGGGAGGGGGGGAUGGAAUUAGUGGUGUAGGGGUAAAAUCCGUAGAUAUCACUAGGAAUACCUAAAGCGAAGGCGAUCUCCUGGAACAUUACUGACGCUAAGGCGUGAAAGCGUGGGGAGCAAACAGGAUUAGAUACCCCCGUAGUC